Molecule: ribosomal RNA, 434 nt
Filed under: uncultured bacterium
Lineage: Bacteria
Description: bacterial SSU rRNA
Rfam family: Bacterial small subunit ribosomal RNA
Source: RNAcentral
AUGAAUGUUCGAGGGAUGCCUUACACAUGACGAGUUGAACGGAAAUUAAUUUUUCAGUAGCGAACGGGUGCGUAAUAUUUUGGAAAUUUAUUUUAAAGUUUGGGAUACUUGUUACCUGAAGAACAAUUAAUACCAAAUAUUUUAAAAAGUUAAUCUGCUUUAAAGUAAGCCAAAAUGAGAUCAGGUAGUUGGUUGGAAAAAAGCCUACCAAGCCUAAGACCUCUAGCUGGUGUGGGAGCACGUACAGCCACAUUGGGUCUGAGAUACGACCCAAACUUCCAUGGAGGGCAGCAGUGUGGAAUCUUGGGCAAUGAGCGAAAGCUUGACCCAGCAAUCUCGCAAUGGUGAUGAACUGCGACUUUUGUUGAAUGUAAAGCCAUUUCUGUGUGUACGAUAAUGACGUAAAGCACAAAAGAAGUUCCGGUGAAUUGUGU